UGAAACUUAUAGCUAAAACUCUGCAAGCCUCCAGGUUUUGUUUGGUAUUUAAUAUUGCUGGGAGCCCUCAUGGAUUAUCACGUAAUUCAGCAUCCCAUUCAGACUUGUGAUGACUGCAUGGGUACACUUAGAGGCGUCACUGGGGAUUUGGGGUGCAGUUUUGUGUUCAAUUUCAUCUGAUGUAACCUACUUUCCCCUUUCUGCCCUCACAUAUUCCUGCCCCUCCCUCACACAGAGUCUAGUGAUCAUGCGAAUGUGUGGUGAGUUGACAUGGAAACUAACCACACACAUGAAAAAAAAGAAAAAGAUUUGUUUUCUGCUGGUUUAGCAAACAGACCAGAUUCUUCAAGGUGAUUGUUAGAUCUGAUGCAAGGUAGCUGGGGGUGGGAGCAGGCUAAACUUGGACAUCUUUUGGUGGCUGCCUGCUAUGAUAUUGAGGUCUCCAUUGGCUCAUUAGGAAGAAAAGCAGGAAAAAUUGUUAGCAGUAAUUAGAUAUUCAAUUCAUGGGUGUUGACCAAGGAGGUUCUUUGAUACCAAACCAUCACAGAGACAGUGAAAUGGAGCUGGCAUGCCACCAGGUCACAGAGCUCAUCACACCAGUGUGCACCUGGGAUUAUGGAAAAUCUGACCACCUUCUCUGCUUAUGCGGGGCACUGACUCUUCCAGACUUCUCUUCACAAGUCUCAAAAUCCGAACAGAAGAAAAGAAGGGAGCAGAUAAGCAGAGGUGCAAAGUCGUCAUUUUAAGAAGCAUCCAAGAAACAAGCAGAGAUAAAGAAAACUGCAGCUUCUCAGUCUCCUGGGUCAGGGCUCUGCUUCAAGUUGACCUGUGCUGAGUCUUCCCUUUGUGCUUUUUGACAGACAGUAAAGGCACUGAGUCCCUCAGUCAAACUGCAGUGCCUGUUUCUGCCUCCUUAUCUCCAUCUGUGGCCUCAUCCCUUGUUCUUCCUUGGCCAUUUAUUGACAGACCUUCAGCAUGGACAGACAACAGCCUCCCCUCCUCCUUCCCCCCCAUCAUUUAUGGAGGGGAAUAAUCCCCUCUGUACAACAAUGUAGUAAAAUUAAUUGACACACAGCAAACCUCUAUUCCUACAGAAUGAAUACCAAAAUCAACAUGUGCCUGUUUUUUUCUCUUCCGGCUUUGCAUUAAAUAAACCUGUAGAAAACA
This is a non-coding RNA of Anas platyrhynchos (mallard), 1167 nucleotides long. The record is from RefSeq and is a predicted model, not a curated record. Lineage: Eukaryota; Metazoa; Chordata; Aves; Anseriformes; Anatidae.